CCCUUAGAUGUUCUGGGCCGCACGCGCGCUACACUGAUCAGUGCAACAAGCAUCCGUCCUUGGCCGACAGGCCCGGGCAAUCUUUGAACGCUGAUCGUGAUGGGGAUAGACUUUUGCAAUUUUUGGUCUUCAACGAGGAAUUCCUAGUAAACGCAAGUCAUCAACUUGCAUUGAUUACGUCCCUGCCCUUUGUACACACCGCCCGUCGCACCUACCGAUUGAAUGGUCCGGUGAAAUCCUCGGAUCGAGCCGUGGGGCAACUCCGGUUCGAGAAGUUGAUUAAACCUUACCAUUUAGAGGAAGGUGAAGUCGUAACA
RNAcentral lists this ribosomal RNA (317 nucleotides) under uncultured eukaryote. Its description in RNAcentral is "partial 18S ribosomal RNA". It matches the Rfam family "Eukaryotic small subunit ribosomal RNA", at positions 1470 to 1796 of the family's 1831-position model. The record is from RNAcentral.